GAGCACGUAGGUGGGUUUGUAAGUCAGAUGUGAAAGCCUUCUGUUCAACGGAAGAAUUGCAUCUGAAACUACGAAUCUUGAGUGUAGGAGGGGAGAAUGGAACUUCUGGUGGAGCGGUGAAAUGCGUAGAUAUCAGAAGGAACGCCGGCGGCGAAAGCGAUUCUCUGGCCUAUUACUGACACUCAGUGUGCGAAAGCUAGGGGAGCAAACGGGAUUAGAUACCCCGGUAGUCCUAGCCGUAAACGAUGGGCACUAAGUAGAGGGAAUUACCGAUAUUCUCUCUGCCGUAGCUAACGCAUUAAGUGCCCCGCCUGGGGAGUACGGCCGCAAGGCUAAAACUCAAAAGAAUUGACGGGGGCUCGCACAAGCGGUGGAGCAUGUGGCUUAAUUCGAUGCAACGCGAAAAACCUUACCGGGGCUUGACAUAGUAGAAGUAGGAACCCAAAAGGGUAACGAACGGUAUCCAGUCCGUAGCUAUUACAGGUGUUGCAUGGCUGUCGUCAGCUCGUGUCGUGAGACGUUGGGUUAAGUCCCCUAACGAGCGAAACCCUUGUUUUUAGUUACCAGCGGGUCAUGCCGGGUACUCUAGAAAGACUGCCGUCGUCAAGACGGAGGAAGGUGGGGAUGACGUCAAGUCAUCAUGGCCCUUAUGCCCCGGGCUGCACACGUGCUACAAUGGUCGGUACAAACGGAAGCGAAGCCGAGAGGUGAAGCGAAUCC
Molecule: ribosomal RNA, 720 nt
Filed under: uncultured Candidatus Scalindua sp.
Lineage: Bacteria; Pseudomonadati; Planctomycetota; Candidatus Brocadiia; Candidatus Brocadiales; Candidatus Scalinduaceae
Description: bacterial SSU rRNA
Rfam family: Bacterial small subunit ribosomal RNA
Source: RNAcentral